CUCUAAUAUUAUUCUAGAUUAUAUAUUUUAAGGAAUAUAUACAAUGAAAUAUUAGAUAUUAAAGGGGUUUGUUCCUUCCUAAAAUAGGUAAACAAAGAUUUAUGUACAAUAUGUAUUAGUAGAUAAAUUUGAAUAUACAUA
Molecule: non-coding RNA, 141 nt
Filed under: chicken gut metagenome
Description: RT-14 RNA
Rfam family: RT-14 RNA
About the family: Cloacimonetes, Firmicutes, Proteobacteria. Nearby to self-splicing intron genes
Source: RNAcentral